Molecule: unclassified non-coding RNA, 344 nt
Filed under: soil metagenome
Description: partial contains 5.8S ribosomal RNA, internal transcribed spacer 2, and large subunit ribosomal RNA
Rfam family: 5.8S ribosomal RNA (bases 1-120)
Source: RNAcentral
GAUGAAGAACGUAGCGAAAUGCGAUAAGUAAUGUGAAUUGCAGAAUUCAGUGAAUCAUCGAAUCUUUGAACGCACAUUGCGCCCGCCUGUAUUCUGGCGGGCAUGCCUGUUCGAGCGUCAUUUCAACCCUCAAGCCCCCGGGCUUGGUGUUGGGGAUCGGCGUGCCCUCGCGGCGCGCCGUCCCCUAAAUCUAGUGGCGGUCUCGCUGUAGCUUCCUCUGCGUAGUAGCAACACUCGCACUGGAUCGCAGCGCGGCCACGCCGUUAAACCCCCCACUUCUGAAAGUUUGACCUCGGAUCAGGUAGGAAUACCCGCUGAACUUAAGCAUAUCAAUAAGCGGAGGA